This 1317-nucleotide long non-coding RNA is filed under the name Strigops habroptila (Kakapo). RNAcentral describes it as "lncRNA (ENSSHBG00005009824.1)". The record is from RNAcentral. Lineage: Eukaryota; Metazoa; Chordata; Aves; Psittaciformes; Psittacidae.
AUUGCAUUGUACUUUUAAUUACAUAGUCUUAAUUUUUGUGGUGACACUCCAGGCUCUCAUAUAAUGUUGUUUAAUGUUUACAUCUCCUUAUUGAUUUGAUAAUUUAAAUACAAAAUGUCAUUUAAUUUGCAUAUUUCUACAUUCAUUGUUGGGGUGCUGUGCUCAUUAAGGAAUCAGGGGAAUUCUGUCUUUUCCCCCAUCUCUUUCAUGCACAUGCAGGCAUGUAUGUUCCAUAUUUCCUUUUCUUAGGCACCAAAUGCUUUUCUUCUCCACUGCUGUGAGACCAUGAUCCUCUCUAUGCUUGACACUUUGAACCCAGGGGUUUGGUGUGAUAUGGGCUGCUGCUCCAGGCAGCUCUUUUUCUGGCACUCCUUGGAGGUGGCUGAAGAUAGUGGUGGGUAGUUCAAGAGCUACUACUGAGCACGCUAGCUUUGGCGGGCUCUUUCUUCACCUGGGAAGUCAAACACACAGUACAGAGUGGUUUGGAUCCACCCAUCCCCUGUAGAGAAUAUUGUAGAAGCAGAUCUUGCAGAAGCCCACAGAAAUCAUAGGGUGAGUCCAGUUAGAUAUCCUUUGUUUCAGGAUGAGAAUGAUGUCCUUACUGCUCUCCAGAUGCCAUUCAGAAAUAGCUAUGAGAAUGCAACCAACCAACAGCAAACCUUCAAACCUUCCUUCCUCCAUCAAAACCAAGAUCUAUGACCAUCCUCUUCCACUCACCUCAGCUCUCUCGGAGAGAAGCCGUAGACAUGGCUCCAUCCUACCCCACGCAGUCUUAGCCACGUGACUAAAUCCCAUCUUUGUGGACUGGUUUUGAGGUGUUUGUCUUUUAGUUUUAGAGCUCCAGGCAUAUUUUAGAGAUACACCAUGCUGCUCCUCUUUGCUUCAGCCUUGCAUGUAUUUGGCAACUUGCUUUGUCUCAGCUUGGUCCCCUCUUCAGACCACACACUUCUCUCUUUCUCGCCCUUUCUUCAAAGGCAGGUUUUCUACAACUCCAGUCAUUCUUUUUGCACCUCUUGGGGCUUUUCCCUGCUGACCCAUAUCUUUCCUGAAGUGUGGAAAUUGUUCUUAAGCCAAGAUGCCACCACUGCCAAGUUUAAUGGAAAGAUUGUCUCAUGCCUUCUGCAGCAUGCCCCUCUGAACAGGCAUCCCAGGAGGACUGCUGGAUUUUUGCAGGACUGGAUUUCUGCUGUACUCCCAAGCAUCACAGCCCUGGAUCUUUUUUCCGCAUGGCAGCAGCCUGGCCAGUUGCUCCUCAUCUUGUAUUUGAGAAAUUGAUUUUAACUCCCCUGCCAGGGAGUGAAACAUUUUAAUUACUUC